ACGGGCAUUGCCCAGUAACGGCGAGUGAAGCGGCAACAGCUCAAAUUUGAAAUCUGGCCCCCCGGCCCGAGUUGUAAUUUGGAGAGGAUGCUUUUGGCACGGCGCCGUCCGAGUUCCUUGGAACAGGACGCCACAGAGGGUGAGAGCCCCGUACGGACGGACGCCUAGCCUCUACAAAGCUCCUUCGACGAGUCGAGUAGUUUGGGAAUGCUGCUCAAAAUGGGAGGUAAAUUUCUUCUAAAGCUAAAUACCGGCCAGAGACCGAUAGCGCACAAGUAGAGUGAUCGAAAGAUGAAAAGCACUUUGAAAAGAGGGUUAAAAAGUACGUGAAAUUGUUGAAAGGGAAGCGCCUGUGACCAGACUUGCGCCCCGUGGACCAUCCGGCGUUCUCGCCGGUGCACUCCGCGGGGCGCAGGCCAGCAUCGGUUCUCCUAGGGGGAUAAAGGCCGCGGGAACGUAGCUCCUUCGGGAGUGUUAUAGCCCGUGGUGGCAUGCCCCUGGGGGGACCGAGGACCGCGCUUCGGCAAGGAUGCUGGCGUAAUGGUCACCAGCGACCCGUCUUGAAAACACGGACC
Molecule: ribosomal RNA, 575 nt
Filed under: Sporothrix fusiformis
Lineage: Eukaryota; Fungi; Ascomycota; Sordariomycetes; Ophiostomatales; Ophiostomataceae
Description: partial large subunit ribosomal RNA
Rfam family: Eukaryotic large subunit ribosomal RNA
Source: RNAcentral